RNAcentral lists this ribosomal RNA (737 nucleotides) under uncultured Coriobacteriaceae bacterium. RNAcentral's name for it is "bacterial SSU rRNA". It matches the Rfam family "Bacterial small subunit ribosomal RNA", at positions 28 to 776 of the family's 1533-position model. Lineage: Bacteria; Bacillati; Actinomycetota; Coriobacteriia; Coriobacteriales; Coriobacteriaceae. The record is from RNAcentral.
GAUGAACGCUGGCGGCGCGCCUAACACAUGCAAGUCGAACGGUUAAAGCCCCUUCGGGGGUGCAUAAAGUGGCGAACGGCUGAGUAACACGUGGGCAACCUGCCCCUCGCACCGGGACAGCCUCGGGAAACCGUGGUUAAUACCGGAUACUCCCGCGCCCCCGCAUGGGGGCGCGGGGAAAGCCCAGACGGCGAGGGAUGGGCCCGCGGCCUGUUAGCUCGUUGGCGGGGUAACGGCCCACCAAGGCGAUGAUGGGUAGCCGGGUUGAGAGACCGACCGGCCAGAUUGGGACUGAGACACGGCCCAGACUCCUACGGGAGGCAGCAGUGGGGAAUCUUGCGCAAUGGGCGGAAGCCUGACGCAGCGACGCCGCGUGCGGGAAGGAGGCCUUCGGGUCGUAAACCGCUUUCAGCAGGGACGAGGCCGCGAGGUGACGGUACCUGCAGAAGAAGCCCCGGCUAACUACGUGCCAGCAGCCGCGGUAAUACGUAGGGGGCAAGCGUUAUCCGGAUUCAUUGGGCGUAAGGCGCGCGUAGGCGGCCUGUUAGGUCGGGAGUCAAAUCCGGGGGCUCAACCCCCGCCCGCUCCCGAUACCGGCGGGCUUGAGUCUGGCAGGGGAAGGCGGAAUUCCAAGUGUAGCGGUGGAAUGCGCAGAUAUUUGGAAGAACACCGGUGGCGAAGGCGGCCUUCUGGGCCACGACUGACGCUGAGGCGCGAAAGCUAGGGGAGCGAACAGG